GGUUAAGCGACUAAGCGUACACGGUGGAUGCCCUGGCAGUCAGAGGCGAUGAAGGACGUGCUAAUCUGCGAAAAGCGCCGGCGAGGUGAUAUGAACCUUUGACCCGGCGAUGUCCGAAUGGGGAAACCCAGUGUGUUUCGACACACUAUCGUUAACUGAAUACAUAGGUUAACGAGGCGAACCGGGGGAACUGAAACAUCUAAGUACCCCGAGGA
Molecule: ribosomal RNA, 215 nt
Filed under: Enterobacter hormaechei
Lineage: Bacteria; Pseudomonadati; Pseudomonadota; Gammaproteobacteria; Enterobacterales; Enterobacteriaceae
Also listed under: 1 other name
Description: partial 23S ribosomal RNA
Rfam family: Bacterial large subunit ribosomal RNA
Source: RNAcentral